AAUAUUGCACAAUGGGCGAAAUCCUGAUGCAGCAACGCCGCGUGAGUUAUGAAUGCCUUCGGUUCGUAAAGCUUUUUUAUCAGAGAAGUUAAUGACAGUACCUGAAAAACAAGCUACGCCUAACUACGAUUCAGCAGCCUCGGUAAUACGUAGGUGGCGAGCGUUGUCCGGAAUUACUGGGCGUAAAGGAUGCGUAGGUGGAUACUUAAGUGGGAUGUGAAAUCCCCGGGCUCAACCCGGGAACUGCAUUCCAAACUGGGUAUCUAGAGUGCAGGAGAGGAAAGCAGAAUUCCUAGUGUAGCGGUGAAAUGCGUAGAUAUGAGGAGGAACACCAGUGGCGAAGGCAGCUUUCUGGACUGUAACUGACACUGAGGCAUGAAAGCGUGGGUAGCAAACAGG
RNAcentral lists this ribosomal RNA (399 nucleotides) under uncultured bacterium. Its description in RNAcentral is "partial 16S ribosomal RNA". It matches the Rfam family "Bacterial small subunit ribosomal RNA", at positions 360 to 776 of the family's 1533-position model. The record is from RNAcentral.